Juglans microcarpa x Juglans regia is the source of this 136-nucleotide long non-coding RNA. RefSeq lists it as uncharacterized. The transcript is spliced from 2 exons. The record is from RefSeq and is a predicted model, not a curated record. Lineage: Eukaryota; Viridiplantae; Streptophyta; Magnoliopsida; Fagales; Juglandaceae.
GAGGUGCUGUAAUUUCAGGAGAUGAAUUGGAAGGUAUUGCAAUGUCAGAAGAUGAAAUGGGAGGUAUUGUGAAAUCAUAUAGUGAAGGGAAAUCAGGAAAUACAAAAGGUGUGUGAUUGGUGUUUGGUAUGGAAGG